UCCGGGGGGUGCAAUCGUUAAUCGGAAUCACUGGGCGUAAAGGGUGUGUAGGCGGUGCAUUAGGUCUGUCGUGAAAUCCCCGGGCUCAACCUGGGAAUGGCGGUGGAAACCGGUGUACUAGAGUAUGGGAGAGGGUGGUGGAAUUCCAGGUGUAGCGGUGAAAUGCGUAGAGAUCUGGAGGAACAUCAGUGGCGAAGGCGGCCACCUGGCCCAAUACUGACGCUGAGGCACGAAAGCGUGGGGAGCAAACAGG
This 253-nucleotide ribosomal RNA is filed under the name uncultured bacterium. Its description in RNAcentral is "partial 16S ribosomal RNA". It matches the Rfam family "Bacterial small subunit ribosomal RNA", at positions 524 to 776 of the family's 1533-position model. The record is from RNAcentral.